UACGGAGGGUGCAAGCGUUAAUCGGAAUUACUGGGCGUAAAGGGUGCGUAGGUGGUAUGGUAAGUUAUCUGUGAAAUUCCUGGGCUUAACCUGGGACGGUCAGAUAAUACUGCUGUACUCGAGUAUGGGAGAGGGUAGUGGAAUUUCCGGUGUAGCGGUGAAAUGCGUAGAGAUCGGAAGGAACACCAGUGGCGAAGGCGGCUACCUGGCCCAAUACUGACACUGAGGCACGAAAGCGUGGGGAGCAAACAGG
Molecule: ribosomal RNA, 253 nt
Filed under: uncultured bacterium
Lineage: Bacteria
Description: partial 16S ribosomal RNA
Rfam family: Bacterial small subunit ribosomal RNA
Source: RNAcentral